UGUGGGAGCGGGCUUGCUCGCGAAAGCGGUGGGUCAGUCAAUAUCUCUUUAACUGACACGCCCAAUUCGCGAGCAAGCCCGCUCCCACA
This 89-nucleotide unclassified non-coding RNA is filed under the name Pseudomonas yamanorum. Lineage: Bacteria; Pseudomonadati; Pseudomonadota; Gammaproteobacteria; Pseudomonadales; Pseudomonadaceae. The record is from RNAcentral.